UACGGAGGGUGCAAGCGUUAUCCGGAUUUACUGGGUUUAAAGGGUGCGUAGGCGGGUCUGUAAGUCAGUGGGGAAAUCUCCGGGCUUAACCCGGGAACUGCCAUUGAUACUAUAGGUCUUGAAUUAUCUGGAGGUAAGCGGAAUAUGUCAUGUAGCGGUGAAAUGCUUAGAUAUGACAUAGAACACCAAUUGCGAAGGCAGCUUACUACGGAUACAUUGACACUAAGGCGCGAAAGCGUGGGGAUCAAACAGG
This 253-nucleotide ribosomal RNA is filed under the name uncultured bacterium. RNAcentral describes it as "partial 16S ribosomal RNA". It matches the Rfam family "Bacterial small subunit ribosomal RNA", at positions 524 to 776 of the family's 1533-position model. The record is from RNAcentral.